GACGAACGCUGGCGGCGUGCUUAACACAUUCAAGUCGAACGGAAAGGCCCUGCUUUUGUGGGGUGCUCGAGUGGCGAACGGGUGAGUAACACGUGAUUAACCUGCCCUUGACUUUGAGAUAACUUCAGGAAACUGGGGCUAAUACCGGAUAGGAGCUCCUGCUGCAUGGUGGGGGUUGGAUAGUUUCGGCGGUUGGGGAUGGACUCGCGGCUUAUCAGCUUGUUGGUGGGGUAGUGGCUUACCAAGGCUUUGACGGGUAGCCGGCAUGAGAGGGUGACCGGCCACAUUGGGACUGAGAUACGGCCCAGACUCCUAAGGGAGGCAGCAGUGGGGAAUAUUGCACAAUGGGCGGAAGCCUGAUGCAGCAACGCCGCGUGCGGGAUGACGGACUUCGGGUUGUAAACCGCUUUCGCCUGUGACGAAGCGUGAGUGACGGUAAUGGGUAAAGAAGCACCGGCUAACUACGUG
RNAcentral lists this ribosomal RNA (468 nucleotides) under uncultured bacterium. RNAcentral's name for it is "partial 16S ribosomal RNA". It matches the Rfam family "Bacterial small subunit ribosomal RNA", at positions 28 to 507 of the family's 1533-position model. The record is from RNAcentral.